This 465-nucleotide ribosomal RNA is filed under the name uncultured bacterium. RNAcentral describes it as "partial 16S ribosomal RNA". It matches the Rfam family "Bacterial small subunit ribosomal RNA", at positions 28 to 507 of the family's 1533-position model. The record is from RNAcentral.
GACGGACGCUGGCGGCGUGCUUAACACAUGCAAGUCGAACGGAAAGGCCCCAGCUUGCUGGGGUACUCGAGUGGCGAACGGGUGAGUAACACGUGGGUGAUCUGCCCUGCACUCUGGGAUAAGCCUGGGAAACUGGGUCUAAUACCGGAUAGGACCGUGCUUUAGUGUGUGCGGUGGAAAGUUUUUCGGUGCAGGAUGAGCCCGCGGCCUAUCAGCUUGUUGGUGGGGUAAUGGCCUACCAAGGCGGCGACGGGUAGCCGGCCUGAGAGGGUGUACGGCCAAAUUGGGACUGAGACACGGCCCAGACUCCUACGGGAGGCAGCAGUGGGGAAUAUUGCACAAUGGGCGCAAGCCUGAUGCAGCGACGCCGCGUGGGGGAUGACGGCCUUCGGGUUGUAACCCCCUUUCGGCAGGGACGAAGCUUUUGUGACGGUACCUGCAUAAGAAGCACCGGCUAACUACGUG